RNAcentral lists this ribosomal RNA (497 nucleotides) under uncultured bacterium. Its description in RNAcentral is "partial 16S ribosomal RNA". It matches the Rfam family "Bacterial small subunit ribosomal RNA", at positions 28 to 507 of the family's 1533-position model. The record is from RNAcentral.
GAUGAACGCUGGCGGCGUGCCUAAUACAUGCAAGUCGAGCGAACGGACGAGAAGCUUGCUUCUCUGAUGUUAGCGGCGGACGGGAGAGUAACACGUGGAUAACCUACCUAUAAGACUGGGAUAACUUCGGGAAACCGGAGCUAAUACCGUAUAAUCUUUUGAACCGCAUGGUUCAAAAGUGAAAGACGGUCUUGCUGUCAGUUAUCGCUGGAUCCGCGCUGCAUUAGCUAGUUGGUAAGGUAACGGCUUACCAAGGCAACGAUGCAUAGCCGACCUGAGAGGGUGCUCGGCCACACGAGAACUGAGACACGGUCCAGACUCCUACGGGAGGCAGCAGUAGGGAAUCUUCCGCAAUGGGCGAAAGCCUGACGGAGCAACGCCGCGCGAGUGAUGAAGGUCCUCGGAGCGUAAAACUCUGUUAUUAGGGAAGAACAUAUGUGUAAGUAACCGUGCACAUCUUGACGGUACCUAAUCAAAAAGCCACGGCUAACUACGUG